This 400-nucleotide long non-coding RNA is filed under the name Ananas comosus (pineapple). RNAcentral's name for it is "long non-coding RNA (ACOM_LNC041418)". Lineage: Eukaryota; Viridiplantae; Streptophyta; Magnoliopsida; Poales; Bromeliaceae. The record is from RNAcentral.
ACGUGUCCGAUAUGAACACUUUUUAGAUGCGCGUUUUAUGCCGAUACAUAGCGAUUUCAUAUUUUUAUUUUAUUUUUUUUAUACAUUAUAAAUAUAAGAUGUUAAAUAUUUUAGUUUUUUAGCAAAUUUUUGACGAAUGCAUAUAAAUUUUUUAGAUAAUAUAAAUAAUUUAUAUAUGGUGCAAUAUUUUUUUCUUAAAAUAUAUGAAUUGUCAAUAAAAAUAUUGCUAAAUUUUAUUCCUAUGAGAAAUAUAACAAUAUUUUAUAAAAAUUAAUAUUUUAUAUAUAAUAAAUAUAUAUUAUUAUACUAUUAUAUUUCGUCAGUGAUGUUUAUGUCUUGUCUGUAUUCUAAUUUUUUGAAAACUGCUAAGUCGCUGUGUCCGAGUCAAGCCGUGUUGUGU